AACGCAAAUUGCACUCUCUGGUAUUCCGGAGAGUAUGCCUGUUUGAGGGUUGGUUUAAAUAACAAUCGAUAUGUUGCUUUCUUGUGACAUUUCGGAGUUGGGUCAUCUUAAUCUUAACUUUUAAGGGACCUAAAAUUGAUGUUCUUGCGCAUCUUGACAUGUAUAAUUUUUUUUAUCUCGUCACCGGAUGCCAGGGUAUUAUUAGGUGUGACUAUGCUAAGUGGUUUCAUGCCUAUAGGAUUCUUGAUUUCAACCUCAAAUCAGGUAAGGAUACCCGCUGAACUUAA
This 287-nucleotide unclassified non-coding RNA is filed under the name uncultured fungus. Its description in RNAcentral is "sequence contains ITS2". Lineage: Eukaryota; Fungi. The record is from RNAcentral.